UGGCUUGAAAGCGAUGAAGCUGAUGCACUGUACUUGCCUGGUGUUGUCGAAGCCGAUGAUGCGGACAUAGGCGCCAGGGUAUUCCUUCUUGACCUCCUCCAACUCCUUGAGCACCUGCGUGGCGUCAGUGCACCCGAACAUGGGAAGCUUCCACAUUGUCCAGUACCUCCCGUCCUAGUACCCUGGGGAGUUGCCGUGCUCACGGAAGACGAAACCGACCUUGCUGAACUCGAGGCAAGGAACCCAUUUGGAGCGGAUGAGAUACUCGAUCUGCUUCAGGAGGGACUCCACGGUGAGAGGUGGCAGGUAGGAAAGGGUCUCGAACUUCUUGAUGCCCUCAAUUGGCCACACCUGCAAUUAGAUUAAAAUUAGCACACAAAGUGUGAUUUGAGACACAUAUCGAUGGAGUAUUUCACUUCACACAUAUCGGUAUGAUGAUAUACAUACCUGCAUGCUCGUGAUCCUGCCACCGUUGGAGACGCUGCCGAGGCCAGCGCCGGCAGAGCGGCGGCUGACGGGGAGCCCGGCGGUGGACUUGAGGCCCCGGAAAGGAGCAACAGCGGUAGCCGCCGCCGACAUCACUGUCGGACCCAUAGCAUCCACCCUUGUAUCACUAGAGUAUAUCUACUUAGCUAAUAUGCUAAGUUUGGCACGGAGAGAGGAGGUCGAGUGGACUUCAUUCCUGGUCACAAGGGUUUAUAUAUACCAUAUAACAUACGAGCAAUUUGUGAUUAAUUUGUUGUCGUUCUAGGAGAUGUGGAAAGGGUGGAUGCCGUUCGUUGGUUGCCUUAUCCGUUCUAGAGAAGGGAUGGAUGACCGACGCUCGCUCAGCCGUCUCCUUCGUCCAUCGUUGCCAAUCUUUCUAGCUAUAAUUGGAAGUUCCAAAGGAACAUACGGUUUCAUGCCUACUUCCAUCGGCCUAUCAUGUACCAAUCCAAUAAAAGGACAUCGUUCAACCAUCAAUCCAUGUGUGUGUAGUAAGUGAUUGGCUACGAACCUUCAGCUGACUUGCUUUAUUGGAUAUUUCUGUAAAGCGAGUCCACGGUGUGUGGGUUUAAAAUCUCGUGGCGGCAACUGUUGACGGGUGCAAAUAUCAGUAGCCUUAAAACAAUAAACUUUACUCCGUCCCUUCCGAAAUGCAAGAAUGUCCUAAGUCAAACUUCUUAUGCUGCAGGACCAUAGUUUUUGAGGUGUUCUUCUCACGAGUCCACGAAGAACGGGAAUUUUUUGGUGUCGGGUAAGGGCGGGGGAAUAUAUAGAUGCUAGCAUCAGCAUGACGGGCUAACGGGUCAGGUAGGAUUUUGGACGACGUAGCACCUGACAUGUGGGGGCCACAUGUAAGAAAACCUGUCAAAAUGUCAUAACCCUCUGUUUUGGUCAACUUGAUACAAUCUGAUACAAAACGUGUGGUUUUCCUGACAAAUUAGCAAAUUUUGUGUCUCUGUGAGAAGCACGCCCCAAAAACUGUGGUUCCGUGAAAUUUAUUCACUAGUUACACUUUAUCUACAAACAUCUACGAUUCUAAAAUAGUUUGGUAUAUAUUUUCCGUAAUAUAAUUAUUUGAUAUUCUAAAUUCGGGGAUUUGUUCUUAUAAACUUGGUCGAAGUUUAAAAAGUUUGACUUCGGACAAAGUUACGACUUUUUACAUUUAGGAAUGAAGGGAAUACAUUUUAGUAAAGCAAUUGAGGAAUUGACAGAAUUAAAUAUCUUAAAUUAUACUGGUCCAUCGUGUACUCAUGGCAACAAAAUAAAUUUAUAGUCGAAAAGUUGGACCAUGAAAACUUAAAACGUGAUACAUUAAAAUUGUUGAAUCACUCUACAUCUUGUAAUUUUCUCUUGCAACCUUCUGGCGCGCUACUCAUUCCACAUUUGGUACUAUAUGUAUAAAUGUAUAUAUAUACCGCAUUAGGAGCCUCUAUUACUGUUUUAGUAUAAAUAGCAGUUUCCAUCGACUAUGCACUUCAUUAACUUUUUCUUCACGAGAUAACUUGCUUAUCGAUUUUCUUUAAUUAUCCAGAUGGCUUCUACUAGUUUGUUUCCUUGCUUACUGGGAUUUCCGCAGACUUUACGGUUAGGUAUUAUUGUCGUGUGGACAACACGGUGGCCGGAUGUUGAGAUGAUGAUGUCCUUUAUCUCCGUGUUGCUUCUGAGGACUGCGGAUCCGAGGCUAGUGGCGGUAUGGGAUGCCUCUCUACCUCUUGAUCAGGUCAAUCCGGCUCAGCAAGAGGCGGAUCGAUGGUGGCCGGUGUGACUAGAAGCGGGGAGGUAUAUAUGAAACGUUUCUUGCUUCCAGCAUCUCUUCUAGCGGUAUAUAUGUCGUCAGCUGGUUGAGGGAUUGAUGGCAAUCGAUCAUGGCUACGAUGACAUGUAUACGCGCCGGUAGGAACACAUAUCAGGCAAUGUCGAUGCACCUGCAUUGGGCCCUUGCUGAAGGUGGUGGUGCGUAUGGCAGUCUAAAGAUUUAAGACACAAAUUUAGACUUAAAACUUAAAUAAUCAAUUUGUGCCAGCGGGAAACACACAAACACGUACCGGUAAAUUAUCAUAAUCAGAAUUUGUCGACGAAUUUGAUAUUCUUUUACAAAAUAUACUUAUCUUAAUAUGUAUAACCGGAGUUUAUAUUACAUGCCCCUCUCCCAACGAUAGUUGUAGUACUCUUAUAAUAGUAGUACUCAUGAAUACAGUUAAUCCGGGUUGUUGGGAGAGAUCACAUGCAUAAAUACAACAUGAAACAAACGUGUGAAAAAGGUACAUAAAAUCGGUGUGACCCGUUCUUGUAUUAUAAGAAAUCAACUUGCUUAGGCCUUGCCGGACUCCUCACAACCCGGUGGCUUGAAGGCGAUGAAGCUGAUGCACUGCACUUGCCUGGUGUUGUCGAAGCCGAUGAUGCGGACAUAGGCGUCAGGGUACUCCUUCUUCACCUCCUCCAGCUCCUUUAGCACCUGCGUGGCGUCGGUGCACCCGAACAUGGGAAGCUUCCACAUUGUCCAGUACCUGCCGUCGUAGUACCCGGGAGAGUUGCCGUGCUCACGGAAGACGAAACCGACCUUGCUGAACUCGAGGCAAGGAACCCACUUGGAGCGGAUGAGAUACUCGAUCUGCUUCAAGAGGGACUCCACGGUGAGAGGCGGCAGGUAGGAAAGGGUUUCGAACUUCUUGAUGCCCUCAAUUGGCCACACCUACAAUUAGAUUAAUAAUUAGCACCGAAAGUAUAAUUUGAGACACAUAUCAGUAUUUCACUUCAACAUAUGUACAUGAUGACAUACAUACCUGCAUGCACCUGAUCCUUCCACCGUUGGAGACGCUGCCGAGACCAGCGCUGGCUGAGCGGCGGCCGAUGGGGAGCCCGGCGGUGGACUUGAGGCCCUGGAAAGGAGCAACGGCAGUAGCCGCUGACGACAUCACUGUGGGAGCCAUCGUACACGUACGUAGAUAGCUAACAAGAGGAGGCAGGCUUGCUUGAGUGCUCUCUAGCUACAGCGGCUUAUAUAACUGUAGGCUCCCCACCCAUCCAAUAUCAGCACAAGAUCUAGGAGGGGUGGCUGCAGUUCGCCGCGCGGAUUUGCCCAGGCCACGCUGGCAUCCUACGGAUCAGGUCGGGCGCCACAUGGCCGCACGAAAUGGCGCGCGUUAUCCUCUGGACGGAUACAAUUGGCUGCAACGCACUCUGCAAAUCAUGCCAUGAAGUGACCAAUUUUCACCUAUCAGGAUAGAUCCAAUGUGCCACGGCAUGCACUCAAAAACAGAACUUGCUAAUCCCUCCAAUCCAUAAAAAAUCUCGCCCACUUAUUAGAAAAUUUGUAAUGAGUUAAUGCAAAAUGAGCAGCACUUUUUAUGAACUAGAGGAACAACAAAUUAAGAGAAACUCUUCUAAGAUCUUAUCGAGAACGAAGCUUGCCCCCGCGUCGCUCAGUCUGGGGCGACACGGGCGGCAACCACACCAGCCCCGGCAGCAGCCUCUCCCCGUCCUCUCCUCCCCCUCGCCGCCGCCGGGCAAAGCCCGCACGGGGACGGCGGCGGCGGGGCUGUUUUUCUUGGCGGGGGUGUCCUAGAGCUCUUGGCUGAGGCGUUUGAGGUGCUGCCUCAUCGUGGUCGCGGCGUCUCCGGCCCGAUCCGGCAGGCUAUGCCUCGUCUUCGGCUAGAUCCGGCCGGCUUCCUCCCGGAUCCGGUGUUUCCCCUCGUUCUUCCUCUCCCUGGUGCUCGGUCUGCUCGUGGCUGCGCGGCUUCACGGCGGCGCUCUUCGGCCGGAUCUAGCUACUCGUUGGCCAGAUCCGUCAUCUCCUCCGGCUGAUCCGGCAUGUCCCAGGUCUCUUCGUUUCCAUCAUUUUUCCUCUCAGUUUGGUGAGGCGGCUGAUUGAACUUCACCGGCGGCAGAUGGGCUGCUGCUGCGGCCAUACAUGGUCCAAGUCGGUCCUUUUCGAUGCCAUGGUGGCGUGGUUUUCAUUUUCGGUCGCGUCUUCGGCUGCUGCCCGUGUGCGAGGUAUGGACGUCGGCUCCGGUGUUUGGAGUGUUGCUCUGGAUGAAAACUGCCCGUGUGCGAGGUAUGCCGAAGACAACGAUGUUGUAGCGCCGUUUUCCUUCUUGGAGGUGUCGUCGAAGAGCUUCACUUUCCCUCACUUUGAUGUUUGGUGUCUUCGGGUGAAAACCUAAGAUUUGGCUAUGGCCAGAUCGGGCGACAACGGCGUUUUUACGUCGAUUUCCUCCUUGGGGGCGUUGUCAUGGAGACAACGACUCUUGGUGGCAUCGGGUGGUGUGGUCCGUCUAUGGUGGAGCUUGUUGUCUCGAGUUGUUGAAGGUUUGGUGGUGUCUCUUCUUGUGUCAUGUGUUAGCUUAGGCUGUCGGUUUGUGUCCGGCGAGAACGUGCGUUUCUUAUCCUUUGGUGCGGUUUCGGCAUGUGAUGCCUUUCGUCUUCACUAUCGUCACGUAGGUGUCGUGUUGUAUUCUCGGUGGUGUGUGGUCUUUCGGCUUAGCCAACGGCAAGUGGAGGUAUGAUCUCGGUUGUGUAUUGCCCUUCGACUUCAUCGGCGGCACAUCGGCGUCGCGGUGGGUCUCAGUGACGCGCAGCCCUUCGACUCUGCCGGCUACGUAGGUGUCAUGGUGCGGCCUUGACCCUGUGCUUCCCUUCAGCUACGGCGACGACAUAGUGUCUGGGUGGGCUCGUCAGAUCGACGCCUUUCGACUACAUCAACUAUGCUCUUCAUUGUGCAUUUAUUUUGCCAUUGACAUGUUUCAAGAGUCUAGGUUUUUUCCUUGUGUUUCUUUUAGCAAAUGCUGUUCUGCAGGCUGGCUUUUGCCCACCCGAUCAGAAAAGAAAAACAAAUUAAAGGCUAAAAUCAAGCGAUGUUAUAUUCCCUUAGCUAUUACAAAUAUGGAUGAUAAGAGUUAUUUAUCCUUUUUCAACGAGUAACCCUUUACUUGGAAGUUCCAUGUGCAUGGCGCUGCAAGAAAACAAACAUCAUAAUGGGGCAAGACUUUUUUUUUUAUAAACAUCCAAUUUGGGUUAAAGUCUGAAAGAAUUUGGCUAUCUGAACUUUCAGUUUCCACAUUCUUUUACCUACUCAAUUCUUCAGCCAACAGGAUCAAUGGCGACCUACUAACACCAACCAGAACACAUGGGUCACAAACACGAAAAAGGGCUAGAAGGCUACUUAUACACACUCAUGUGUACUGCGAGCAAAAGAACAUAAUGUACAAAACUUUACAAAAUCUAGGGAAUUAAGACCUUCCCGUAUGCUGUUGCUGCCGCUGCUGCUUCAUGCUGGCUCUCCUGGCAACAUCCCAUGGUUUGUGAGGCACACCUACACCUUGCUGGGAUGCGAAGAACGACUCGUAUCCCGGGGAGUCGAAAGCAAAACCAGUGUGCUUGGAGUUCUCUCGAGGGAGCAUGGAGAUCGCAUAGCUUCUUGCUUCUUCUGGGCUCAAAUGGCUCCUCUCAGGCAGAUGUAUCAUGCUGUAUUCGUGGGGGUCAUCCUUGUGCAUCUCCUGGAUUACUUGGUAGUCAUAGGGAAAGAGCCAUCUUUGGAGCCUGAGAAAGCACACAGCAUCAAAGACAACAAUUGAUUCAGCUACUUCAGUAUGUACAAUGGAAGGAAUAACAAACGGAUGGCAUUAACAAACAUAUAAUUUUGCAAAAGAGCUGGUAUCUUACGAUAGAUACAGGAAAUCACCAAAGAGAGCGAUGACUGGAGCAAGCAUUAGUGUGAGGUAGAAGAAAAAGGUACUCAUCAGAACAUAAAUCACAAAAUAUACAUUUUCCUGCACAAGGUACACAGCAUUAAGUCAAUGCAUUUGUAGCAAGUAAUCGUCAUCAGCAGUGUAAUAGCUACAUUAUUCACCCACCUGUCGGUCAAAUGAUGUCAUUAUCGCAGAAUAUAUGAAGAUAAACAGAAACCAGGCCGCUAUACUGCCAGCUACGCUGAAAUAAUGCCAUCUCGUGAUAGAAUUGCACGACAUGAGGAGACGUAGAUUAACAGUCACCACAACACAAGUAAAGGCCAUCGUGCUAACAUCCCAUUGACCAAGAAUCUUGCCAGAUGAACCGUGACCAUGCUGACUUGCAGCUGCAGUAAAGUAAUAGAACACUAUUGACUGGUAGAAGGCAAAGAAACCCCACACCGCAAUCACUUUCCACCGGAAGAAUGUGUUCCUAAUUCCUUCUUGGUAAAGUUGUGGGUAUUUUUUUGAUAGAGAUGCACUCACAUCCUGAAAGGGUUCAGUUUAGUGAAUGUAGCAAGGAGCGUCACUCCAGAACAAGAAAAGUAGAACAAAUACAAGCAACCAUACCUUAUCAAACAACCCAACCAUAAUUACAGGUAGUGCCGUGAAAAUGACAUUAUACAGAGACUGGAACCAGUCAUCAUAAAAUCGCUGACCAGAAAAGCCAGUUUGGAAAGUGAACCAGAACUGAGUUAGUGUAAAAGUCAGAUUCUUGUAGAAGAAGUAUGUGAUAACCUGAAACAGAAAGUGUCAAUGUUAAAAAAAUUAAACUACACAGAUUGGCAGCUACAAGCUAAGGGACCAAAGCAUACCUUGCACAAUCUCAAGUAUGACCACCGCCCAUGUACAAGAAGUAAAUCCGUAAGAUAUCGAAACUGAGCAAUGGCAAAAUCACUCGCCAUAACAGCUUGCAUUCCUUCUUGUCCGCUGAUGCCAAUACCAACAUGAGCAGCUUGAAUCAUACUCACAUCAUUAGCACCAUCACCAAUACUGAGAGUUAUCUUACGUGCACCUUUCCUAACUAAACUUGCAACCUACAAAUGUGUCAACAUUACAUGUUUUGGCAUCAUUCGAACCCAACAGGUUAUUAGGAAAUAAAUCCAAAAAUAAGAGACUUUGAGAUUGCUGAUGGGAUGGGUAACAACCAAAUAAGCACAUAUACAAUAAGUUAAUUAAUACUACCUUUGUUUCAAAAUAUUAUACCAAAACGUCUUAUAUUUUGAAACAGAGAUAGUACUUAUAGUACAAGAGUGUACAGGACAUUUAGUUAAGAGGCCAAAACUAGAAUAGCAAAAGCAACCAAUGCACAGUGGUUAAUAAUGAUCUUGUGAAUCAUGCACAAACUAUUUUGUUGUCAAGGUACAAAAUUGGAUCCUUUAAAAUGUAAUAAUAUCAAUAUCCCCCGUUUAUUGCCCAAGCAUCCUGAAAGGCAUGCAGCUGAGAGCUGCAGACCAUACUGCUAAUUAUUUCAUGGGAAAAGGCAAGGCAUGCAUGAUAAGAACGCUAAAAGCGAGAAUUGAUAUUUACCUGUGCCUUUUGCAGUGGAGAAACUCGACAACAUACAACUGAUUGGCAAAUUAAACUCAAACCAAGAAGAUUCACACGCAGAGCUGGGUCUAGAGCGUACAUCAAGCAUCGUCCAUCAAUAAUGAAAGCCAACUUUCGUCCUGGCGUGCUCCUCAAAGAACGGUGGGCUUCCUCAAGGUAACUUCUCAGACUCUGUUUUACCGAGUCUUUGAUAACACGUGCAAUUUCCACAGGGUCUCCCUGAAAAUGACUGGAACAUUAUUCAUGGCAAAGAUAUGUGCAUAAGUUGAUUUACAUCAAUCAGAUACAAAUGCUAAAUUGCUAAUUAUGGUUGAUCAAACUGCAAAACACACGAGAUAUCCAAAAGGCUAUAUAAACAUGAUGGAGAGGCUAAAGCACUGAAACAACAGAAUCAACAUAAAGUAUUUUGUACUAUUAUGCAACUAAGCCUUUUGUCCCAAGCAAGUUGGGGCAGGCUAGAUAUGAAACCCAAACAGAAACUAAAGCAAAGUGCAGGUAACAAAAGAGCAAGAGAGUAAAUCAAGGUUCAGGCACAUGGACUGCUGAUUUCCAUGCAGCCCUAUCAAAAGCAAAAUCUCUAGAUACAUUCCAGUCCUUCAAGUCCCUUUAACUGCCUCCUACCAAAAGCAAAUAUCAUAGUAAUCCACCAACCAAAGUAACAAGGGAACUACUUGUAACUUCUUAGUUCACAAGUACAUACCAGUUGAGCUAUCCAAUUAUUCUAAAUAAUAUGGUUUGAUACCUUUACCAAAGUCUCAACUUGUAUUCAUUUUAAAGCUUAUACAAGAUAUUAUAUGUUAUGGCUUAACAGUCUCCAUGACACAAUAUGGCUUGACUUCACAGUUUAAUUCUAUAGGAUUAUCUUACCCUGUCUUCAGCAUCUCUAAUUGCAUCUGUCUCAGAAGUGAUGAUGAAUUGUUUUGUAUCGUUAUUCACCAGGCUGCACGCUGCAGAGCAAAAACUAAAUAACUUCAGAAGCUUUUCUAUGUCAGGUGAAAGAGAGAGAAAAAGACCGCCCGCCCCCCACCAAUAAUCCAAAACUGAGCUUCUAUUAGACCCCUUAAGAACGAAACAAGCAUGCAAAUUGAUCUAUAUAUAAUUAAAACCUCACCAUAUGCUAUAUUAAUUGCUGUUUCCAUUUUAUCUCCAGUUAGCACCCAAAUUUUUAUGCCAGCUGCAGAAAGAGUUUCAAUGCAGGCUGGAACCCCUUCUUGCAGUUUGUCUUCUAUUGCAGUGCACCCUAUCAAUAUAAGGUCCUUUUCAAUCAACUCAGCCACCUACAGGGGAAGAAACAGAAGGAAAUUAUAUGGCAAUGUCCCAGCAAUAUCUUAAAUCAGAAUAUACAUUAAGUCUAUUACUUCAAAUUCCUUUUUCCUAGAAAUCACAGUGAACUUAGUACAUGAAAGAAUGAAAGGAUAAUGCUUUUCUAAUGGGGAUUUGAAAAAACAUCAUAAAAAUAAUAAUAUAAAGUACUGUAUGUUCUUGUUCUAGAUAAAUUACAAAUAUCUUUUGCUCAUGAUCCUCUUUCCUGACUAAAAAAUAUAUAUUAUUAUGUAAAAUACUAAUGUUCUAUGGCAGUACAAGAUAAUAAAUUAGCACAAAAAACUAUUAAACUGCAAAUGUCAGCUGUUAGGGAUGGAUGACAUGACUCCUGUAGUUUUGGGGGGAGAGAGAGAGGAGACACACUGAACAAAUUACUUCCUUCGUCUCCAAAGAUUGCCAUGCCACAUUCUAUUCGGUCAGUCAACCUUUUACAACUUCAAAAUUAACAAUUAUAAGUGAAUUGAAUUACUACAUGAAAAAUAACAGCACUCAAUUUGCUUGCAUAAUAAUUUGUACGCAAAACUUUUGCUUGUAUAUUAGCAUAGAAAUCAUAGCCAGAGUUUUAUGUUGGGAGAAUAUAAAAUUAAAAAAUGGCCUACAUUUGUCAGGUACAUUCAGUUAAUUGUUUCCAAAACCAAAUUAAUUUUCAUACAUAAAUACCAAACGGAUCAAUAGCAUGCUCAACAGUGCACAUGAGACUCGAGUUCAGUACUGGAUGACAGAAAGUAAAAAAAAUCAGGCAAGCACUAGAAGGUGGAGGGGAAGUAAUCGAAAUUCAAAUCACAGGGACUGUUCAGCCUGUAUACUCAACAGAAGAGGAUGGUACACAUACCUCAUCAAGCUUCUUAUCACGAUCUCGUAAAGAAGAUUUAGCUUGAACAAACUUCUCAUUCCAGCUUUCGUACUGCUCCCUGCUUAGAUCUCGAUAAGCAAGGCAAAGCGUGCGCAAGCCAGCAGAGCCAAAUUGUUCUAGAUGUUCUCUGCUUGUCUUUUUAAUGUCAUGAUUUCCAUCAGCUAACCGUUCAAAAAUGACAUUAUCAGCGCCCUGUUACACAACAUUUGUAUAAGGUUAGUGCAUCAAUCUACAAAGUGAUAGCUACAUAAAGAUUCUUUUUUCUUGUAUUACCUUGCAAUACAGAACAAGUUUUCCAUUUGGGAAACGGCAAACCACAGAUUGGCGCUUUCUUGUACUGUGAGUGCAGUAAAGUGUGAAGUGCAGAACAAUGAUUUCAUCUUGUCAAAUUUAAAUUGAAAACAGAUAAACCAGACCUGUUGAAUUCCAAAACAUUCAGAAUUUCAUAUGCAACAUCUUGUAUACUCCCCAUCCUCUCAACAUGUGAUUCCCGAACCAAGACUGUGGUUGGCGUACGUCUACAAGACAGGCACAAAAUGUCAACCACCGGCAUUGCCAUUCACAAUAAAAAUGCCACAUGAAAUAAUUUGCAACAAAAAUCAUAAGAACUUAGAUGAGUUCAUGUUCACAGCACUUGCUUUAACACUUGUCUUAAUUUACAACGGCAAUUUUUUGUUGAUGGGCUAAUAGUUUAUUUAUGCUUCUUAGUAUGUACAUUCAGUCCUUCAUACAACAAACUAUAUAAGCAAUAACCUGGGUGAGUGACUCUUUUAUGCACAUUUUCCUUGGGACCAUAGCAUAGUUUUUUAAGAUACCUUGUUUGCAACAAACUGAUAAGAGGAAUCUAUAACUGUAUUUAAAGGCAAGGUAAGACAUGCCUAUAAAAGAAGAAACCAAAAUUCUUCGCAGCAGCGACAAGCGCGGCCUCGUCGGGAGAGGCAGCUUGAUAAGUAAUCUUUUCCGGUGUCUCCUCACCCUCAGGAAGAACUGUAUGACAGAUUGCAAGGCAUCUGCAGAAUUGCUAUAGAGCAAAUAACAAAGUUGUUACACAACUAGCACAUUAACAAGGGAAAAUGUGAAAAAGGAAAAUAGGUUCCAAAUUUUAUUAGUAAGGGCAUAUAUCGUGAUAUGUGAAUAAUUUGUGUCAACUAAAUCAAAACUGAUUAUGACCAAAGGGGAACCAAUCGAACUAUUCCACAGGUAGUCCCGUAUUUACCACGCAAGCAUCAGGAUUAGGUUCAUUUCUCCAUGCACCACGCAUUAUUCUAGCAUCAUCAAAGUUGAAUCCUUUCUCAUGAACUGCAGUGGCUGAUCUUUUACCCUAAAAAAGGCAAGUAAACUGGAUAUUAAAUCAGUUGUGCAUUAAAUUUUUCAUCAUAUACCACCACACUUCAAUAGCGUAAACAACAAAGAAAAUGUUGUAGACCUCAUCAUCAUCAAUCUUGACUCCGGCUCGCUCGGCUCCUCCUUUUUCAAUCUCUGUGAUGCCAGUUCCAUAUAUUUCCCCUCCAAUCGAACAUUUAAAGAAUUCCAUCAAGUUUCUUGUAAGUGUUCCAGUUUUGUCAGAAAAUAUAUACUCAACCUGAACCAUUAGUGGGGCAAAAAAAAUUUGGCAGAAAUGUCAAAUUAUUUGCAAGUGUUAAGUGCAUUUUAGUACCACUCGGCAUUUGUUCAGUCAUAUAAGCAUUUCUGGGGAUCUAGAACAGUUUUUCGGUGGGAGUAAGUCACUUAAUAUUAGUGAAAUGAGACUGUUCCCCAAGUGCUUAUAAUUGAUCCCACUUUCUGGAAUGAGUCGGUGCAGUGAGGUCAUUCUAUCCAUUAACCAAACCCAGCCAUAUAGGUCAAAUAAGUAAAUAACCCCAUUUCAGCAACAAACAAAGGGGCUUUCAUCAAACUAAACAGAAUGCUAAGGAACAAAAAAAAAACUGAUAUUACCUGCCCAAGCUCCUCAUUCAGAUUAGAAGUCCGAGCCAAAGCUGGGGUGUUGCUCUCGGCAUGAUACAUAUUCAGAUCAUUGUUAAUAAACUUUGCACACUGAAUGAAUUUGAUCAUCUGCCAGCCAAAAUAAACAUAAGGUCCAAUCCAAAUACAGGGUACACUAAAUGAUAAAUUGGUCAAUAUACCUCAAUGGAUACAUAAAGAGAAAUGGGGAUGAUCGUUGAGUAUAGAGUUAUUAGAGUAAACAUAGUUAAAAUGGUCACCUGCAAAAGUACAAACCUAUGAUAUAAGGCCACUUAGAGAAUAUUCUCUACAAUAAAUUAACUAAAAUAAUAUAUACCACAAAUCUGUUCUUGGGAUUAAACUGGUCCUCGACACGCCCACGCAAUCCAAGAUAGAAGUAUUUCUCAUUAAUAAACACGCCACUGUUCACAAAAGCCAAGUAUGAUGAGUCCAUUGGUAGAGUUUUAGGUUUCUAAAGAACGUGCAAGCUAAGCAGUCAUAGUUACCAAAAUCUAUAUGCUGAACAGAGCACUUCCAUUUCUGACCAUCUAGAAAGUGCCCUAUUAUGUACCUCCCACAUAAAACCACUAAGAAAAAAGAUAAGGCUAUUAAGACCUAGUCAUGUGCUCAUCUAUACUGCUCCUAUGCCACAAUAAAAAAAUAACUUCCCCAAACAAGCUCCUGACAACUCAUGUCAUAAUGUUUAAAGUUUAUCUCUCUAUUAACAGUUGUUUUUUCAUGAUCAAUUAAAUUGUGAAAAAUGAUUGUGCAAGCAUAAGCCUCCACAACAUCAACCUAACCGAUAUAACUCAUGUUCAGAGAAUAUACAUGUAAACAAUAAUACAAGAUAGAUAAGUCAAAUAAAUGAAGUGGGCCAAAUAAAACACUGACCUUCCAAUAGCACCAAUGACACACAUCGUAAAGAGGGUUGCAAAUAGAGCAAGAAUAAGCUUGUCUAGUUUCUUCUCCAAUGUACUUCUUUUAGAGGGAACAUUCAUAGAAUUCAUCAUAACCUGCAAUAGUGUCCCACUGCAGUAAAUCUCAAAACUAGAAGCACAUCUAACCUACAAGUUGAAUAUAUAGGGACACAAAAUUGCACAUACUUUCGUCUCAUGGCCCGUGAAUAUAACAGCCGCGACAAUGUACUCUGUAUUACGAAGGCUGCAUCCCUGUGGCAAAGUGGUAAUAAGAGGUUGCAUGUGUGCCACAUAAAGAGAGAGAAUUAAGUGUCAUGCAAGACACCGUUCAGUCUGGUGAAAGUAAACAUUUCUUUUGCACUUUACAAACAUUGCUUCAACCCUUCACCACUUAUCCUACAUAUGGGACUAGAGAAGAAAUGGAAGUUGUUUAUAUGAAUGUUAAACAUUUCCAAAUUGUUUAUAUCAUAGCUAUCCUUGUUUGCAAACCAAUAAGAACAAUAUUAUUAUAGAGGUGUUUUAUGAUGAAAAUUUCUGCUGGUGACAUUUGGGUGUCGUCAAUAUUGGUAUUUGGAGGAGAUGUUGGUGAUCAAAGUUAAAGGCCGAGUAAAGGCAUCACGCUAUGAUGUUAUUUUUUACCUGAGGGAUUUUCUUAACAAACUCAUGCUAAAUCUAGAACAUGCAAACAACUUUGCAGGUGGACAAUCUUGUAAAGAAAUUUCAAGGGCAUGUUUGUGUGAGGGGUAUUACUUUGGUACGUGUUGGUAACUACAUACCUAAUUGUUACAAGAAAAAUCUCAUCCAAACAAGCCCUAAGGACAUUAUGGACCUUGCUACUGCAAAGUUGGUAAGUCGAAAAUACGACAGGAUGUCUGAUUGAUAUGUAGGACCUGGACCCACAUGUCAUUCUCACAGCGAGUCGCACUAUUUCAAAUGUCAACUUUGUGGUGGCAUGGUUUCAAUUUUCCCAAUAAGAAACUAGAUACAAAUAGCAUAGAUGAACAGCACUUACCCUUAGUAGUAUUUGAUUUGGUGAAAUUGGUAUAGUUUGCUUGUCCACAAUAAGGUUCCCGGUAAAUGUAUAAAGUGAAUUGUUUGGCUGUUCGCAUUGUAUUUCACCUGUAAGCCAUGAAACAUACAGAUAAUGUGAAGUUAAGAAAAUGUAGAAUAGUUAAGUGAAGUUCAGAAAAGGAGCAAUGCUUCCUACACCAACUACCGAAAAAUGUCUGCAACAUGGAACAAGAAUAGAUAAAAACCUUUGAAUUCAGAAGCCUUUUCAGGAAUUACGCAGUCCCAGGUUUUCUCCAAAGCCUUCCUUAUUUUCAGGUUAGUUUCCCCAUCAAGAUUUGCUGUCUAAGGUAAAUAGAAGUAUGAUACACUUCAAUUAAAACAGAGUUUCUCUAAAUCAUUCAAUAAUUUCAAUUUGGACAAAAGAUGGAGAAGGUAAGAAUGAAUAUAUUGACCUCUAUGUAGCAGACACCAUCAGGGUUCGUACUUGAUAGGAAGAGCAAGUCAGAAGGAAAGUAAGUGUCUUGCUUGAUCUGCUCUAAAGAAGUGCCAUCACUAUUAGUCUUUUUGGAUAUGUGUAUCGAGCUGAAGAUUAAAUUUGCACAGCACAAAAGAUCAAGUGCAUUAAUUUGUGGAAGCAACAGAUCAAUUGAAUUGAUCAUCAAAUUGCUAUCAGGAAAGAUGAAGACAUUACCCUCACAAUAUCUCCAACCUGCAGUCUUUUCCAAGGGGCACUUUCCCAUUUUUGACCUUGCAAUACAUCGACGUGCGCAUUAUUAAUUGACAUGUCAUUCUGGAAACGUUUCUGUAUAAUGGGAGGCAAACAAAAAGGGAAGAAUAUCAGAUAACAUUAAGAAUAGCAAUAAAAUAGUGGAGCAACAGAGCAUGAGAGCAAUACUAACCCAGUCCUCAAAAGCUUCCUUGAUGAGUGAAACCAAAAGCACUAAACUAAGUGGAACCACAUUGGUGACAGGGUGGACUGGACUGCGAAGAUACAAGCAUGUAUGAACUAAGAUUUCUAGAAGUAAAGGUGAAGGAAAGCAAAGGAUGACUGAAUCAACUGAUGGACUUGAUAUGCUAAGAAGUGUCUAGCUGUAACAUGAGAAUUCCAUAGGGUGCAUGCAUGAGAGAGAGAGAGAGACCUAAUUGGUGUAGUCGACAAGAUUGAAAUCAUAAGAAAGUAAAGAUUUGCCACCCGUCUGAACUGUCAAAGCAAAAAAAAAAACAAAUGAAUUACAAAAGGUUCCUAUGGUCAAAUUGCGAUAAUACAGAAAGGGAACAUCUAAAUCGGUGUUACAGCUACCAUUGCAAAGUUUCUUUAUUCGAUAUGGAAAAAUGCAUUACAUGUUUAAUGUAUGAAGCCAUUGAAAUACUUUAAUGUACCUUACGUAAAAAACAGUGGAUAAUGAAAUUGCCAGAAUUAUGGUAUCGCAUAAAAUGAAGGUUACAUUGAGCGAAAAGCAUGAUCAGGGCUUUACCAAAUAACAAAAUCAUACUUCUCCUUUUCUCAAUAUAUGGCAUUUUAGGUUUCAUUGAAGACAAGUCUUUGAAAAGGAUUUACUUUGUGUUGUUUUUAAGGCAUGAAAUUUAUAUCACUAGAUUCAUCCUCAAAAGUACUUAAUGUGGAUUCAUAUCAUAUAAAUCACAUAUUAAUGAAGUAAUUCUUGGUCAAAGUCUUGUAUUAACGAAACCUAAUAUGUCCUGUAUUGACAAAAUGAGGGAGUAUAUUAUCUAACAGUGCAUGUAUACAGGCACGAUACUGGUAGCGCGUAUUACAAGCAAGGUAUCUUAAAAACAUUGCAACACAGUGCCAGACCAGGUAAGCAACUAAGCAUCUCAUGUAUCCACUAUUUUAAGGGAAGUUGAUCCAGAGUGAGGAAAUAAACAUUUUUAAGGAGAUAUAUCAAUUUGCAAUGUGAAAAUGAUACGGAGUAGUAUAAUCAUUUCACUGUGAUAACAAAUACUCCCUCCGUUCUAAAUACUUGUCGCUGUUUUAGUGCAAACUAAAACAGCGACAAGUAUUUAGGAACAGAGGGAGUAACUUCCAUUUACCGUUAGACAUGAUACAAAAUAAUAUGUUGAAAAAAAAUCUAGCCAAAAACUAAAAAACAAACAGAAAAUCUGCAUUAAACGAUGACAAACCCAGCAGGUAUGUUGAUUAACAAAAUAUGUAUGAACAAAAAACAACGCAUCAAUACCUGUUCAAACAAUCCUUUAGGUAGAAAUGUCAGCACACUGUACUUUGUAGUCGACACAGAAUUUCCCUGGAAAUGUAGAAUGAGAAUGUUAAAGAACUAAUUCUAGCAGAAAAACAAAGUAGCGCUCUGCAUUAGAAUCGCGAUGGUCUGAUACCCAACAUGAGGGAGAUUCUGAAACUAAACAGAAGAGCUAAUUGCAACUAGAAGCAUGAAAAAAGUAUAGCUUGAUCUUUUUACAACAUCAAGUCUGAAUACAUUCAAGCAUUUACACUAACUUGGAACAAAAUGUGGGUGUCAAAGAAAAUGCAUGAAUACACCUACUUACAAUAAAGCACCAAUUUUGCAGUGAUUGGACAAACUAUGGUUAAAAUACUUAAUAAUAGAGUUCUACGUAUUUGGAGGCAUAAAACGCAUUGCAGUUGGAGCAGUGGCAUUAUCAUGUUAGUCAGUCUAACAUGGCAGUGAAUGACGUGAAUUUUUUGCUAGUUUAGACCUCUGGCCAGCGCAAUUGACAAAAAUGCCCCCCUCUCAAAACUAAUGCCAAAAAUGGUCUGGCAGAAGGCCCGAAAGGCGCCACAUUUCAUUUUUCGCCAUCUGAGCUGCGCAUGCAAACAUUCCGACAACCUGAAAGGCGGAAAGGCCGUUCCGCCUACUGCAUUUGAUGAAUGCACCUGACAAGGGCGGAAGGUGAACUGGGCCCUGCAGAUGGAAGCAAUUUCCACAUUUGUUACAGACCUGGAAUCUUUUUUUUUGUUGGAGUCGACGGACCAUGUAUGUGCGGAUGCAUAGGAAUCGGCAAGCAGCCUAGCUGCUAGUUCACGGGCACGUUUUACAUUUUCUUUCCUCAGGUUUGGCUAGUGCUACCACGUUGAUACUAAUCAACGCUUCUUGUGAAUGGGCUUAGUUGCUUCUACUAGUCGUGCGAGCGUUAAUCUUUUCUCUGUGCGCCUGCAUGUGCGGGCGUGGGAAUCGGGUCAGGUCCCUGCAGACAGCACGCCUGGCUGCACUGGGCCUGCUUCAGCUUCCGCCCCUGAAAAUUCACUUUCGUCCAUUUCAACUGGAAACAAGUAGGCUCCACCUGUCCUGUUGGCGGAAAGUUCAUUCCUCCUACCCAGUGGCCACUGGGUCAGUUGCUGGGCUUUCCACCACGUCAUUUUUCAAAUUAUAUUUCAGAUGGAGCUAUUUUUGCCAAUUCCGUUUGACAAGGGGCUACAAGAGCAAAGAAAUUGAAUGACAUAGCAAGCAAUCAAUUUCCCCUUAUAGGUAAAUAAUAAACAGCUUUGCUUCAGCUUACUGUCAUCAGCUGGUGGCUGACUGCCCUGACCAAACACAAGUUCAGUAAUCUACACAGCAAGCGGCACACAGGUGCAGCUAAGCACAUGGAUGAACAGAAUAUUCCAGCCAUUGAGGCUCAGCUCUCGAAGCUUAAUGCCAGGUGGCAUCUACAUUGUAUUGCAGCCCGUAGCACCCUGAUUGACUAGUAACCCAACAAUGAGACAAGCUCUAAUCCACCCAAUGACCUCACAGUUGGCAAGAAAUGCAGCCCUUAGUGACACGCACCACCCUACAUAACUUUCUCGUGGACUAAUCAGUAUGAAUCAUAUAAACCCUCUGCAAGCUGCAGUGAAAUAAAACUACUACUACUGAACUAGCUAUUGUCCCAGAUGGCCAUCUCCAACCCAACCGCCCAAGCAUGAAACAAGGGGCCAGUUACGAGAUCUAGGCCUACAGACCCCUAGACCUUGAGACAACCGACCUGUUGAUCAUCCGAAUUAGAGGAGGAGGUGCACACCCGUACCUUGUACCCGACCGGCGCGUUGGCUUCGCGGUCGUUGCAGUAGAUGGUGCGCACGGUGGGUGCCUGCGGCUGCGGCUGCCGUCGGAGGCUGCCGCCCCCGCCGCCGAGACGCGCCGUCCUGGACGCCUCAGCGCGGCCGGCCUGAGAGGUCCCCCCCCGCGGCGACUGCUCGCCGCCCAGCCGCGCGGUGGCAACCCGCAUCAUCUCCUUUAUGCGCGAGCUCAUCCUGCCCCCCUCAGCGCCAAACCCAGCGCUGGAGGAGCCGGCGGGAGAUCUGGGGAAACCUCACGGUGGAUCGGAGGGGAGACCUAGUCGGAUUUGCGCGGCUUUCUGGUGGAUUUCAGUGCCUCGCUGAGGAGGGGAUUCGAUUUGGGUCACGCGUUCCCGUAUGUGCGUAUUUUUUCCGUGUAAUUUUUUUGUUUUGCCUUUUUCUUUUCCUUUGGCUCCGGGAGAAGAGAAGACAGGAGGGGAAGGAAAAGCGAAGGUCGCGACUUCGCGAGGAAGAAAAUGAAGGGAUUACUGCAGAUCACACCCUUGAUUAUUUUCGAAUAUGGAAAGCUCCAGUAACUG
RNAcentral lists this long non-coding RNA (18371 nucleotides) under Brachypodium distachyon (stiff brome). RNAcentral's name for it is "long non-coding RNA (BDIS_LNC003394)". Lineage: Eukaryota; Viridiplantae; Streptophyta; Magnoliopsida; Poales; Poaceae. The record is from RNAcentral.